CAUGUCGAGGAUGAAUCAACUGAGCUUCUGUCACGAGGAAACAUAUGAUAAUAACGGAUAUAGUAUUGAAAUAGUGCAAACUAAUCAUAAAGCUUUUGAGAGUCUAGAAUAAAGUGUAAAGAAUUUGUUAGCUGAUUUCCCAAUCCUUACAGCUUUAGACUUCCCUUUAACACAGUUGAAAAAAACUAAAACGAGCAUUUGUUUAUUCUAACUUUUACUUCUGCAGUGACAAAAAUACACACAGUAAAAAAUAUUUUUAGCUGGAUUAAGAUAGUGCCAUUAGGUCUAAAUAUUAAAAAAAAAUAAGUUUUACAAAAAGUUUUGUAACAGUAAACAGUUAGGAAAUAGAAGAAAAAGACUAAUUUGCAUAGAAUAAACACAAAGAUCAAAGUCUAUUCCCUAUUAAACAGAUAAAAAAUUGAACCACAAAUUCUAUAAACCAAUCUGAAAAUAGAAACUGUUGGUUGCAGCUGAACAACAUGGCACCGCAUUGAGUAUGUUUUUGCAUACAAAUACAAAUCUGUCAUCAGUUUGUGUGCUUUCAUGCAGAUUGCAGCACUAGUGGCCUCAUGCCAGCAGCGGGCAGCUUUCUAAUCGGCUAAGCAGGAUACUGAUCACUGAUUGGUCGCUACGCACACAUACGACUGGGCACCAAUUCCACUGAAAUAGAGCUGCAGUGCUUCUCUAAUCUCCGCGGUGUCAUUAGCAAAGGUAGCAAUCUGCUCAAAGGCCACCAUGCUUUACCUGCUUAUCUUGUCUUAAAGAGCAAUCCACUCAGGAAUCUAGUGGAGCGACGCUCUCAUUACUCAGCAUAUUACAAACGGGCAAAAAAAUGCAAGACGUGAAGUUUGAGUUUUCUGCAUUUUAUAAAUGUUUGUAGAACAUGUUUUUAGAACUCAGUAAAAACUUAGAAAAAUGUCACUUUGAUAUACAUUUCUUUCUGUUAUUCCCUUUGCAAAACUAGUAAAAAGUAGAUGCACACAAAUGCGUUUGUUUUCGGUUUCUGCAAGUGUCAGAAUCUUCUUUUUUUUUAACUCAGAUAAGUUUAUUCUUUUAGCCUUUUGCAUCCCAGGCAGCCUUGACAAAAAGACAUGUGCUCAGAUGAACAGCCAACUCAAUGUAUUGAACUUCAGUCUGAUGCCUCACACCUUGCUCCUAAAUCCCUGGAGGAGUAGGUUUUCUUACAGUUUCAUUCAGUUGAAGACAUAAUGUCAAUUCCCGUCUCUGAAACGUAAAGUAAUUAUUGUUGUUCUAAUCAACUCAUUAGAUUUUUUCCCGUAGUUAAUUUAUUUUUUAACCCACAGUAAAGACUGCAGCACGCUUUGGAAGGCUGAUUUACGUGAAACAUUCUCAAGUGAAAAGACAUGCAGGUAUUGGAACAACGAAGCAACUCACUUGAAAAAAAAACAUGUAAAAAACUCCCAAAAUGAGGAUACAAAGCCAGAAUACAGAGCACUUACAUGGUCGAAAGAAAACAAAAAAAAAAAAACAUUAAAUGCAACUGAAUUUAAACAGACACAUACAUGGCAAAAUCAGAGAAAAAGGAGUAAAAACUGAAAAGAAGAUAAGAUGUGACGACAAGGAAGGCAUUGAGGACUCACUGAGGCAACAUGACUGGCAGCGAGUGAAAUAACUAAGCAUAACCACAACUUCACUUUUCAAAAGGCUCACAGCUUCAGUGGUGAUGUCUUAAAAAAAGUUCAUCUAGAUCAGUCACCAAACGUUAUUAUGGAAACCUUGAGCUGCAGUUAUGACUGCUGACCGGUAUGUAGGACUGACCUGUAAAGCUUCUAAAAAGCGAAAGGAACCCAGCCGUCGACCUCGAGGUACAAGACAGAAUGUGGAGUUGUACAGCAUCUCUCUGUAGUCGUACCUGCAGAACAACACAAGAGAAAAGAUAGAAAAUGAAAAAAAGAUCUGUAAGCAUUCUGAACUAACUGUUGGUGGUUUCUUUUAUUGUUGGAGGAAAAAAAGAAAAAAA
Oryzias melastigma (Indian medaka) is the source of this 1981-nucleotide long non-coding RNA. RefSeq lists it as uncharacterized. NCBI's taxonomy places the organism in Eukaryota, Metazoa, Chordata, Actinopteri, Beloniformes, Adrianichthyidae. The transcript is spliced from 2 exons. The record is from RefSeq and is a predicted model, not a curated record.